AGAGACAGUUAUACAGAGAGAGCGUCCUCCUACCAGUCCACUCCCUAGAUGAUCACAGUCACUGGGACUGGACUGGGGCUAAAGUCAGGAGCUGGAAGAUCAGUCCAGACCGCCCUUGUGGAUGCAGAAGCCAUCACUUCUGCCUCCCAGAGCUGCCUUAGCAGGAAGCCAGAGCCAGGAGCUGACUGUCGGUACUGAAUCCAGGUACUCCAAUAUGUGAAGCAGGUAUCUUAAUUGGCAUCUUAACUACUAGACUAAAUGCCAGUCCUGCUAUAUCCUUUUGAUUAAAUGACUCCUCUGUUUUUAUAUAAUGACCUUCUAAUUCUUGGUUUGCAGUUUUUGCCUCAAAGCCUACUUUAUCUGAUAGAAAUAUAGCUGCUUCUGCAUUUUUGGUUUAUUUCAGUAUACUGGUUAGUGAAACACAUGUAUGGAAUAUAAAUGGGAAUUAUAACUAAAGCAUGCAUAAUCUAUCUUUUGCAUAUUAUAUUUUUGUUAGUAGAAUUUUACUUAAUAAAAGUAUUUCCUUCAGUGAUGUUAUAAUACAUACUUUGUUAGAAGUCUGUGAAAUACCUUCAGGAUAGUUUGUAAAGUACUAACGCACUAACCAUGAAAACCUAUAGUGGAUGCUAAUGAGACACAUUGUUUUACUAUUUUUUAUUUUUUAUUUAUGUAUUGAAUUUAAAGAAAAUUUGCUAAUCUAGAAAUAAACUUCAUAUAGUUGGUAUGUAUUAGUAGGAACACAGUUAUAUUGUUAAAAGAAUUAUUGCUGUUAUUCAGAUGAUAAUGUUGGCUUUCCUUUAAAUGUGGUUUCCAUUCUUGCAUUCUUUUGAGAAAGCUUACUGAGUACCAGGUAUUGACAGUGAAUGUUGUAGAUGUGUUGUUUUUCUGACCAGUGGAAAAUGAAAAUCACUGUGACUUUGUUAAGCUCCGGGAUAUGCUUCUUCCUACCAAUAUGGAAGACCUGAAAGAACAGACACACACUCAGCACUAUGAACGUUUCAGGUACUUCAAACUGCAGUCAAUGGGUUUCACUGAUGUGGGCCCGGACAACCAGACAGUUAGCUGUUCUGCCGCACUGUGCUUUGAGUCACAACUGCACAUUGAUGUCCCAGUUACACGACAAGUUUGAGAACGUGAAGAGGAUUCAACACAAGGAGGUGAUAAAGCUUGAAGAAGAGAAAAGACAACUGGAAGAAGACAUAGUAGAUCUUUAUAAAAUGAAGGCUACUUCUGAAACAUUUCAGCCGCCUAUGUGCACCAAUGUAAAAAAGGACAAAGGUCAUAAGAAAUAGUUUUUUCUGGGGUGAGCAUUUGGCACAGUGGUUAAGACAUCAGUUAGGAAACCCGCAUUCCAUACCAGAGUGCUUGGGUUUGAGUCUGAGAUCAGUUUUUUUCUUAAUUAAUUUAUUUUAAAGGCAGAGAGAGUGAGCUUCCAUCUGCUGGUUCACCCCUUAAAUGGUUGCAAAGGCCAGGACUGGGUCAGGCUGAAGCCAGGAGCCAGGAGCUUCAUACUGGGGUCCCACAUGGGUGGCAGAGGUCCAAGUACUUGGGACAUUGUAGUCUUCCCAGGCACAUUAACAGGAAGCCGGGUUGGAAGUGGAACAGCUGGGACUUGAACCAUCACUUGAUAUGGGAUGCUGGCAUCACAAGUGUUGGCUUAACUCACUGCACCACAACACAAGCCCUGCAAUUCCAUUUUCAUUCCCACAUCCUGGUAAUGGGUACCCUGGGAGGUACUUUGUGAUGGCUACAGUACUUGGGUCCCUGUCAACCCAUGUCGGAGAACCUGGCUGGAGUUCCAGGCUUUGGCCUGGCCCAACACCAGUGGUUGUAGGCAGUUGAGGAGUGAAUGAGCAGAUGGAAAAUCUCUCUCUUCCUGUCUCUGCACCUGUCUCUCUCUGGCUUUUAAAUAAAUACAUGAAUACAAAUUUAAAAUAGUCUUUU
This 1944-nucleotide long non-coding RNA is filed under the name Oryctolagus cuniculus (rabbit). RNAcentral's name for it is "lncRNA (ENSOCUG00000033383.1)". Lineage: Eukaryota; Metazoa; Chordata; Mammalia; Lagomorpha; Leporidae. The record is from RNAcentral.